GUUGAAAGUGUAUGCUGAUUUGGAUGACACAUGCUAGAUGACUAGAGUCAGUUUUCGCAGUACAGGUGCAGGCCGCGGCUUCUGAGCAGACAAGGCUUUCGGUAGAGAUUAAAAUCCCCACUGAGGAUUGAAAUAUGCUGCUGGUUUUGAUGUGGUGGAUUUACGCCUGUCAUCAGUAUUUGUAUUUGCACCUUAAUGAAUGAAAAAGCUAGCUCUCACGGAUGGGGAUUAAACUCAGUGGUUUCACCCCCUGCUGCGCAAGAGCAAGGACCGGAGUUCGAUCCCUGAUACCAAAAA
Non-coding RNA from Heterocephalus glaber (naked mole-rat), 297 nucleotides. The record is from RefSeq and is a predicted model, not a curated record. Lineage: Eukaryota; Metazoa; Chordata; Mammalia; Rodentia; Bathyergidae.